This is a small nucleolar RNA of Synchiropus splendidus (mandarinfish), 73 nucleotides long. RefSeq annotates it as small nucleolar RNA SNORD50. Lineage: Eukaryota; Metazoa; Chordata; Actinopteri; Syngnathiformes; Callionymidae. The record is from RefSeq and is a predicted model, not a curated record. The transcript has a single exon.
CAACUGUGAUGUUCACCUUUCCCGAAGCUGAUCAUCUAGUGAUGAGAAAACUUACGGAUCUGAUUACUGAGUU